AGUGGGAUAGCUGGGUCAUAUGGUGGCUCCAUUCUUAGUUUUUCAAGGAAUCUCCAUAGUGCUUUCUAGAAUAGUUGUACUAAUUUGCAGUCCCAUCAACAAU
RNAcentral lists this microRNA precursor (103 nucleotides) under Marmota monax (woodchuck). The record is from RNAcentral. Lineage: Eukaryota; Metazoa; Chordata; Mammalia; Rodentia; Sciuridae.